UGGCGAAUGAAGAGGGAAAAGCCCAAAUUUGUAAUCUGGCUCUUUCAGAGUCCGAGUUGUAAUUUUAAGAACUGUUUUCAGUGCUGGACCAUAUACAAGUCUUCUGAAAAGAAGCAUCAUAGAAGGUGAUAAUCCUGUUCAUGAUAUGGACCACCAGUGCAAUAUGAUACAGUCUCUAAGAGUCGAGUUGUUUGGGAAUGCAGCUCAAAGUGGGUGGUAAAUUCCAUCUAAGGCUAAAUAUUGAUGAGAGACCGAUAGCAAACAAGUACCGUGAGGGAAAGAUGAAAAGAACUUUGGAAAGAGAGUUAACAGUACGUGAAAUUGUUAAAAGGGAAACAAUUGAAGUUAGACUUGUUAUUAAUAGUUCAACCUUUUUUAAAAGGAGUAUUCUAUUGAUUAACAGACCAACAUCAGUUUUUGGGUGUUGGAGAAGGGUUUAAGGAAAUGUAGCAGUCUUUGACUGUGUUAUAUUCCUUCUGACU
RNAcentral lists this ribosomal RNA (482 nucleotides) under Puccinia chrysanthemi. RNAcentral describes it as "eukaryotic LSU rRNA". It matches the Rfam family "Eukaryotic large subunit ribosomal RNA", at positions 87 to 572 of the family's 3401-position model. Lineage: Eukaryota; Fungi; Basidiomycota; Pucciniomycetes; Pucciniales; Pucciniaceae. The record is from RNAcentral.